This 1559-nucleotide ribosomal RNA is filed under the name Escherichia coli. Its description in RNAcentral is "bacterial LSU rRNA". It matches the Rfam family "Bacterial large subunit ribosomal RNA", at positions 1270 to 2812 of the family's 2925-position model. RNAcentral also lists the same sequence under 2 other names. Lineage: Bacteria; Pseudomonadati; Pseudomonadota; Gammaproteobacteria; Enterobacterales; Enterobacteriaceae. The record is from RNAcentral.
AUGCUGGAGGUAUCAGAAGUGCGAAUGCUGACAUAAGUAACGAUAAAGCGGGUGAAAAGCCCGCUCGCCGGAAGACCAAGGGUUCCUGUCCAACGUUAAUCGGGGCAGGGUGAGUCGACCCCUAAGGCGAGGCCGAAAGGCGUAGUCGAUGGGAAACAGGUUAAUAUUCCUGUACUUGGUGUUACUGCGAAGGGGGGACGGAGAAGGCUAUGUUGGCCGGGCGACGGUUGUCCCGGUUUAAGCGUGUAGGCUGGUUUUCCAGGCAAAUCCGGAAAAUCAAGGCUGAGGCGUGAUGACGAGGCACUACGGUGCUGAAGCAACAAAUGCCCUGCUUCCAGGAAAAGCCUCUAAGCAUCAGGUAACAUCAAAUCGUACCCCAAACCGACACAGGUGGUCAGGUAGAGAAUACCAAGGCGCUUGAGAGAACUCGGGUGAAGGAACUAGGCAAAAUGGUGCCGUAACUUCGGGAGAAGGCACGCUGAUAUGUAGGUGAAGCGACUUGCUCGUGGAGCUGAAAUCAGUCGAAGAUACCAGCUGGCUGCAACUGUUUAUUAAAAACACAGCACUGUGCAAACACGAAAGUGGACGUAUACGGUGUGACGCCUGCCCGGUGCCGGAAGGUUAAUUGAUGGGGUUAGCGGUAACGCGAAGCUCUUGAUCGAAGCCCCGGUAAACGGCGGCCGUAACUAUAACGGUCCUAAGGUAGCGAAAUUCCUUGUCGGGUAAGUUCCGACCUGCACGAAUGGCGUAAUGAUGGCCAGGCUGUCUCCACCCGAGACUCAGUGAAAUUGAACUCGCUGUGAAGAUGCAGUGUACCCGCGGCAAGACGGAAAGACCCCGUGAACCUUUACUAUAGCUUGACACUGAACAUUGAGCCUUGAUGUGUAGGAUAGGUGGGAGGCUUUGAAGUGUGGACGCCAGUCUGCAUGGAGCCGACCUUGAAAUACCACCCUUUAAUGUUUGAUGUUCUAACGUUGGCCCCUGAUCGGGGUUGCGGACAGUGUCUGGUGGGUAGUUUGACUGGGGCGGUCUCCUCCUAAAGAGUAACGGAGGAGCACGAAGGUUGGCUAAUCCUGGUCGGACAUCAGGAGGUUAGUGCAAUGGCAUAAGCCAGCUUGACUGCGAGCGUGACGGCGCGAGCAGGUGCGAAAGCAGGUCAUAGUGAUCCGGUGGUUCUGAAUGGAAGGGCCAUCGCUCAACGGAUAAAAGGUACUCCGGGGAUAACAGGCUGAUACCGCCCAAGAGUUCAUAUCGACGGCGGUGUUUGGCACCUCGAUGUCGGCUCAUCACAUCCUGGGGCUGAAGUAGGUCCCAAGGGUAUGGCUGUUCGCCAUUUAAAGUGGUACGCGAGCUGGGUUUAGAACGUCGUGAGACAGUUCGGUCCCUAUCUGCCGUGGGCGCUGGAGAACUGAGGGGGGCUGCUCCUAGUACGAGAGGACCGGAGUGGACGCAUCACUGGUGUUCGGGUUGUCAUGCCAAUGGCACUGCCCGGUAGCUAAAUGCGGAAGAGAUAAGUGCUGAAAGCAUCUAAGCACGAAACUUGCCCCGAGAUGAGUUCU